Gallus gallus (chicken) is the source of this 362-nucleotide long non-coding RNA. The record is from Ensembl. NCBI's taxonomy places the organism in Eukaryota, Metazoa, Chordata, Aves, Galliformes, Phasianidae.
GAGGAGACAACUCCUAAUAUUCACUGAGUCUAUCAGCAAGAACAUAAACUACCAAAAGCUCCAGAAUCUGGUUUUGGACUCUCAGCUUGGCAUUAACUCCCAGACAUCUCUGAUGCUGAGCGUGUGGUGUACGUGCACAGCUGUACGAGCAAUGGGGAGUGCAUGGCUGCAAAACUGCAUUCUGCUCUCAGAGUAGGAAGAAUGAAAGAAUGAAACAUGUCAGAUGUCCAUCACGACACAAAGCACUGCUGGAAGGAAUACGGAUAACACAGCAAGGAAAGUAAUAUAGAAGAGGAGCAGAUUAGCAUCAAUAUUUUCCAUUUAAAGAAAAAAUAAAGCUUUCAGCUGCACUUUGGUUUAUU